GACGAACGCUGGCGGCGUGCUUAACACAUGCAAGUCGAGCGGUAAGGCCCUUUCGGGGGGUACACGAGCGGCGAACGGGUGAGUAACACGUGGGUGACCUGCCCUCAGCUCUGGGAUAAGCCUGGGAAACCGGGUCUAAUACCGGAUAUGACUCCAUGACGCAUGUUGUGGGGUGGAAAGCCUUGUGCGGCUGAGGAUGGGCCCGCGGCCUAUCAGCUUGUUGGUGGGGUGANGGCCUACCAAGGCGACGACGGGUAGCCGGCCUGAGAGGGCGACCGGCCACACUGGGACUGAGACACGGCCCAGACUCCUACGGGAGGCAGCAGUGGGGAAUCUUGCGCAAUGGGCGAAAGCCUGACGCAGCGACGCCGCGUGAGGGAUGACGGCCUGGUGU
RNAcentral lists this ribosomal RNA (394 nucleotides) under uncultured bacterium. RNAcentral's name for it is "bacterial SSU rRNA". It matches the Rfam family "Bacterial small subunit ribosomal RNA", at positions 28 to 422 of the family's 1533-position model. The record is from RNAcentral.